RNAcentral lists this ribosomal RNA (445 nucleotides) under Clostridioides difficile. RNAcentral describes it as "bacterial SSU rRNA". It matches the Rfam family "Bacterial small subunit ribosomal RNA", at positions 986 to 1430 of the family's 1533-position model. Lineage: Bacteria; Bacillati; Bacillota; Clostridia; Peptostreptococcales; Peptostreptococcaceae. The record is from RNAcentral.
AUCCCAAUGACAUCUCCUUAAUCGGAGAGUUCCCUUCGGGGACAUUGGUGACAGGUGGUGCAUGGUUGUCGUCAGCUCGUGUCGUGAGAUGUUGGGUUAAGUCCCGCAACGAGCGCAACCCUUGUCUUUAGUUGCCAUCAUUAAGUUGGGCACUCUAGAGAGACUGCCAGGGAUAACCUGGAGGAAGGUGGGGAUGACGUCAAAUCAUCAUGCCCCUUAUGCUUAGGGCUACACCCGUGCUACAAUGGGUAGUACAGAGGGUUGCCAAGCCGUAAGGUGGAGCUAAUCCCUUAAAGCUACUCUCAGUUCGGAUUGUAGGCUGAAACUCGCCUACAUGAAGCUGGAGUUACUAGUAAUCGCAGAUCAGAAUGCUGCGGUGAAUGCGUUCCCGGGUCUUGUACACACCGCCCGUCACACCACGGGAGUUGGAGACGCCCGAAGCCGA